Long non-coding RNA from Equus asinus (donkey), 1040 nucleotides. The record is from Ensembl. NCBI's taxonomy places the organism in Eukaryota, Metazoa, Chordata, Mammalia, Perissodactyla, Equidae.
AAGCAAAAGGGAGAUUUUUCUGUGUGGGCCAACCUAAUCAGAUGGGAGUCCUUUAAAAGAGGAGCUAGGCUCUCCCUGAAGUCAGAGAUUCAUGCUCAGCUUGUACUCAUGGGGUUCCAGCCUGCUCUGACAGUCCCUUCCCAUCUGCCUGCCUGUGGACUCAAUUUCAGCUCAUGCUCAUGCGGUCCAGCCUGUUUGUGACCUUCUCUUCUUGAUCGAUGGUCCUGUGGGCUUCAGGCUUCUUCGCCGGUGCCCAUAAGUGUGUGGCUACAUGUUGAAAAAAUGCAGGCUGGAUCCUUGAGUAGCCACGUGGAGAGAUGUCCUGGAGUUCUUCAAUGUUGUGUGGGGAUGUUACAGAGCCCUUGGCUCCCCUAGACUCUCGCAGAGGCUCAGUCAACUGGAUCAAGGCGUGUAAGAAAGAAGGAGAGGAAAAAUGCAGAGCAGAGGGGUGCAACCAUGAUGUCCUUCCACACAGAGAUCUCCUCAGUUAUGGUCUACAGGAUGCGUGACCAACUGGGUAAAGACCAAGACUGGAAACAUCCUUUCAUGAACCUACCAGAACAACAGUGUCCAGAGUGAGAGCUGGAAAGGCCUCCUCAAGUCAUCUAACUCUUUUGUUCUGCACAUGAGGAGACUUGAGCCAACUUGUUUGUCCCUGUUAGAUGACAAACAUGGGGAUAGCAGGGGCCCCCAUGGUUGGAGCACCUUUCCUAUCAAGACCCUUCUAACUUCUGAGCAUGGCUUCUACACCCUUGCAAACUGGCCUCUUGCAUGGGCUCAGAGAUAUGACCGUACAGCACAGGCUUCGAUGAAAUAAGGAGACACCUAGCUUUUCUGGUCCAGUGGAGAUUUUUGCCUUGGCUAAGAUCGUCUGGAUAUUUUUCUCCCUGAUUUUGGAAUUUCAUUCAAAAUUUAGAAUUUAUUUAUGCCUUGUUAGUCCUACACAUUGACUUUUGGGGCCAAAUAAUGAUUAUUUUCAUUCUGGGAAUUUCACUUGUUGAUUGUGAGAUGUGAGGCCGCAGGGACUGACAUGACUUAAA